RNAcentral lists this ribosomal RNA (411 nucleotides) under Pristimantis sp. MUBI 17035. Its description in RNAcentral is "partial large subunit ribosomal RNA". It matches the Rfam family "Archaeal large subunit ribosomal RNA", at positions 1927 to 2461 of the family's 2987-position model. Lineage: Eukaryota; Metazoa; Chordata; Amphibia; Anura; Strabomantidae. The record is from RNAcentral.
CUUGACCUCCUCAGAGGUCCAGCCUGCCCAGUGACUUUGUUCAACGGCCGCGGUAUUCUAACCGUGCAAAGGUAGCAUAAUCACUUGUUUUCUAAAUAAAGACCAGUAUGAAAGGCAUCACGAGGAUUAAACUGUCUCCUUUUUCUAAUCAGUGAACCUAAUCUCCCCGUGAAGAAGCGGGGAUUAACCUAUAAGACGAGAAGACCCUGUGGAGCUUAAAACAUUAAACACGUGCCCUCCCCACCCAUUACUCCGGUANNUCCCCUUCCCUCGACCCUGAUCGUAUGUUUUUGGUUGGGGUGACCGCGGAGAAAGCCCAUCCUCCGCAUGAAGAGACUCCCUCUAAGCAAUAAGUUACAACUUUAAGCAUCAAAAAUUGACCUAACUGACCCAUAAUUUGAUCAAUGAAGC